RNAcentral lists this ribosomal RNA (376 nucleotides) under uncultured Planctomycetota bacterium. RNAcentral's name for it is "bacterial SSU rRNA". It matches the Rfam family "Bacterial small subunit ribosomal RNA", at positions 521 to 896 of the family's 1533-position model. The record is from RNAcentral. Lineage: Bacteria; Pseudomonadati; Planctomycetota.
UAAUACGAAUGGUGCAAACGUUGUUCGGAAUCACUGGGCAUAAAGAGCACGUAGGCGGUCCAGUCAGUCAGCUGUGAAAUCCCUCGGCUCAACCGAGGAACUGCAGCUGAUACUGCUGGACUAGAGUACGGGAGGGGAGAGCGGAAUUCCUGGUGGAGCGGUGAUAUGCGUAGAUAUCAGGAGGAACGCCGGAGGCGAAAGCGGCUCUCUGGUCCGUUACUGACGCUGAGGUGCGAAAGCUAGGGGAGCAAACAGGAUUAGAUACCCUGGUAGUCCUAGCUGUAAACGAUGGGCACUAAGUAGGGGGACUCCCAAGGUCUCCCUGCCGGAGCUAAUGUGUUAAGUGCCCCGCCUGGGGAGUACGGUCGCAAGGCUG